This 253-nucleotide ribosomal RNA is filed under the name uncultured bacterium. Its description in RNAcentral is "partial 16S ribosomal RNA". It matches the Rfam family "Bacterial small subunit ribosomal RNA", at positions 524 to 776 of the family's 1533-position model. The record is from RNAcentral.
UACAGAGGGCUCAAGCGUUGUUCGGAUUCAUUGGGCGUAAAGGGCGCGUAGGCUGCGGGGCAAGUCGGGGGUGAAAUCUCAGAGCUCAACUCUGAAACUGCACUCGAUACUGCUUUGCUUGAGGACUGGAGAGGAGAUUGGAAUUCACGGUGUAGCAGUGAAAUGCGUAGAUAUCGUGAGGAAGACCAGUGGCGAAGGCGGAUCUCUGGACAGUUCCUGACACUGAGACACGGAGGCCAGGGGAGCAAACGGG